GAGUUUUGAUCAUGGCUCAGGAUGAACGCUAGCUACAGGCUUAACACAUGCAAGUCGAGGGGAAACGACAUCGAAAGCUUGCUUUUGAUGGGCGUCGACCGGCGCACGGGUGAGUAACGCGUAUCCAACCUGCCCACCACUUGGGGAUAACCUUGCGAAAGUAAGACUAAUACCCAAUGACGUCUCUAGAAGACAUCUGAAGGAGAUUAAAGAUUUAUCGGUGAUGGAGUGGGGAUGCGUCUGAUUAGCUUGGUUGGCGGGGUAACGGCCACCAAGGCGACGAUCGAGGUAGGGGUUCUGGAGAGGAACGGUCCCCACAUUGGACUGAGACCACGGUCCAAACUCCGUACGGGAGGCA
This 358-nucleotide ribosomal RNA is filed under the name uncultured bacterium. RNAcentral describes it as "bacterial SSU rRNA". It matches the Rfam family "Bacterial small subunit ribosomal RNA", at positions 9 to 350 of the family's 1533-position model. The record is from RNAcentral.